This 77-nucleotide transfer RNA is filed under the name Bacilli bacterium. RNAcentral describes it as "tRNA-Arg". It matches the Rfam family "tRNA". From Rfam's summary of the family: Transfer RNA (tRNA) molecules are approximately 80 nucleotides in length. Their secondary structure includes four short double-helical elements and three loops (D, anti-codon, and T loops). Further hydrogen bonds mediate the characteristic L-shaped molecular structure. tRNAs have two regions of fundamental functional importance: the anti-codon, which is responsible for specific mRNA codon recognition, and the 3' end, to which the tRNAs corresponding amino acid is attached (by aminoacyl-tRNA synthetases). tRNAs cope with the degeneracy of the genetic code in two manners: having more than one tRNA (with a specific anti-codon) for a particular amino acid; and 'wobble' base-pairing, i.e. permitting non-standard base-pairing at the 3rd anti-codon position. Lineage: Bacteria; Bacillati; Bacillota; Bacilli. The record is from RNAcentral.
GCGCCCGUAGCUCAGCCGGAUAGAGCAACUGCCUUCUAAGCAGUAGGUCAACCGUUCGAGUCGGUUCGGGCGCGCCA